AAGUACCCCGAGGAAAAGAAAUCAACCGAGAUUCCCCCAGUAGCGGCGAGCGAACGGGGAGGAGCCCAGAACCUGAAUCGGCUUGUGUGUUAGUGGAAGCGUCUGGAAAGUCGCGCAGCAAAGGGUGAUAGCCCCGUACACUAAAAUGCACAGGUCGUGAGUUCGAUGAGUAGGGCGGGACACGUGACAUCCUGUCUGAAUAUGGGGGGACCAUCCUCCAAGGCUAAAUACUCCUGACUGACCGAUAGUGAACCAGUACCGUGAGGGAAAGGCGAAAAGAACCCCGGCGAGGGGAGUGAAAUAGAACCUGAAACCGUGUACGUACAAGCAGUGGGAGCACCUUCGUGGUGUGACUGCGUACCUUUUGUAUAAUGGGUCAGCGACUUAUAUUUUGUAGCAAGGUUAACCGUAUAGGGGAGCCGUAGGGAAACCGAGUCUUAACUGGGCGACUAGUUGCAAGGUAUAGACCCGAAACCCGGUGAUCUAGCCAUGGGCAGGUUGAAGGUUGGGUAACACUAACUGGAGGACCGAACCGACUAAUGUUGAAAAAUUAGCGGAUGACUUGUGGCUGGGGGUGAAAGGCCAAUCAAACCGGGAGAUAGCUGGUUCUCCCCGAAAGCUAUUUAGGUAGCGCCUCGUGAACUCAUCUUCGGGGGUAGAGCACUGUUUCGGCUAGGGGGCCAUCCCGGCUUACCAAACCGAUGCAAACUCCGAAUACCGAAGAAUGUUAUCACGGGAGACACACGGCGGGUGCUAACGUCCGUCGUGAAGAGGGAAACAACCCAGACCGCCAGCUAAGGUCCCAAAGUCAUGGUUAAGUGGGAAACGAUGUGGGAAGGCAUAGACAGCCAGGAUGUUGGCUUAGAAGCAGCCAUCAUUUAAAGAAAGCGUAAUAGCUCACUGGUCGAGUCGGCCUGCGCGGAAGAUGUAACGGGGCUAAACCAUGCACCGAAGCUGCGGCAGCGACGCUUAGGCGUUGUUGGGUAGGGGAGCGUUCUGUAAGCCGUUGAAGGUGGCCUGUGAGGGUUGCUGGAGGUAUCAGAAGUGCGAAUGCUGACAUAAGUAACGAUAAAGCGGGUGAAAAGCCCGCUCGCCGGAAGACCAAGGGUUCCUGUCCAACGUUAAUCGGGGCAGGGUGAGUCGACCCCUAAGGCGAGGCUGAAAAGCGUAGUCGAUGGGAAACAGGUUAAUAUUCCUGUACUUGGUGUUACUGCGAAGGGGGGACGGAGAAGGCUAGGCUGGCCGGGCGACGGUUGUCCCGGUUUAAGCGUGUAGGGGGUGUGACCUGGUAAAUCCGGUUGCAUGUUAACCCUGAGGCGUGAUGACGAUGCACUACGGUGCAGAAGUAGUUGAUGCCCUGCUUCCAGGAAAAUCCUCUAAGCUCCAGGUAACAUUAAAUCGUACCCCAAACCGACACAGGUGGUCAGGUAGAGAAUACCAAGGCGCUUGAGAGAACUCGGGUGAAGGAACUAGGCAAAAUGGUGCCGUAACUUCGGGAGAAGGCACGCUGGCAUGUAGGUGAAGUCCCUUGCGGAUGGAGCUGAAGCCAGUCGAAGAUACCAGCUGGCUGCAACUGUUUAAUAAAAACACAGCACUGUGCAAACACGAAAGUGGACGUAUACGGUGUGACGCCUGCCCGGUGCUGGAAGGUUAAUUGAUGGGGUCAGCCGCAAGGCGAAGCUCUUGAUCGAAGCCCCAGUAAACGGCGGCCGUAACUAUAACGGUCCUAAGGUAGCGAAAUUCCUUGUCGGGUAAGUUCCGACCUGCACGAAUGGCGUAAUGAUGGCCAGGCUGUCUCCACCCGAGACUCAGUGAAAUUGAACUCGCUGUGAAGAUGCAGUGUACCCGCGGCAAGACGGAAAGACCCCGUGAACCUUUACUAUAGCUUGACACUGAACAUUGAGCCUUGAUGUGUAGGAUAGGUGGGAGGCUUUGAAGCGUGGACGCCAGUCUGCGUGGAGCCAUCCUUGAAAUACCACCCUUUAAUGU
This 1989-nucleotide ribosomal RNA is filed under the name Serratia marcescens. RNAcentral describes it as "partial 23S ribosomal RNA". It matches the Rfam family "Bacterial large subunit ribosomal RNA", at positions 204 to 2213 of the family's 2925-position model. Lineage: Bacteria; Pseudomonadati; Pseudomonadota; Gammaproteobacteria; Enterobacterales; Yersiniaceae. The record is from RNAcentral.